ACCGAUAACACAGACAUUAACAACAUGCAUAGUUGUCUUUAUACUGAACUGGUGGCUUUAUCACGCUUAGAUGGCGUCUAAAACAAGUAUGCUGGCUAUAACUUUCUGACCCGGAUUCAGAACCCAGAAACGGUUGAUUUUGAUAUCAUUUGUUAAUCAUUUGGCUUUUCGAGGUGCGCACAUGCGUAUUUGCGAUGAUAAAGACUGCAAGACCUGAAGUUAGACUAUAGGAAUGUUCAUUGAUAGAGUUAAGGUACUGGUGAUAUUUAUUUUCCUUAAAAAUGUAAGUAGCAUAGUUUCAGUGACAGAGAGCACAAUUUUCAGAAAGUAGCAUAAUUUUGGCAUAAUUUCUAAAAAAUACGAGCACUUCUAAAAGCACGUACAAUAUGCUUUUUUUUCGAGCACUAUCUACCAAAGCCUAUAAGAUACGGUAUGAUAUCCUAAGAUAUUGUAUGAUAUCCUAAGAUAUUGUUUGAUAUCGUAAGAUACUGUAUAAUAUCCUAAUGGAGCUGGCUCCAAGGAAGAACACUGGAUAGAUUCAUGCUCAUCCUUAUCUUUAUCUUCGUUAUCUUUAUCUUGCUUAUCCUUAUCUUUACCUUCUUAUAUUCCUUAUCUUUAUCUUCAUUAUCUUCUUAUCUUCCUUAUCUUUAUAUUCUUAUCUUUAUCUUCUUUCUCUUCUUUAUCCUUAUCUUUAUCUUCCUUAUCCUUAUCUUUAUCUUCUUAUCCUCCGUUAUCCUUAUCUUUAUCUUCUUAUCUUUCUUUUGUUCCUUAUCUUUAUCUUCUUAUCUUUCUUAUCUUUCUUAUCUUUCUUAUCUUUAUCUUCUUAUCUGUAUCUUCUUAUCUUUAUCUUCCUUAUCUUGUUUAUCCUUAUCUUUAUCUUCUUAUCUUCGUUAUUUUUAUCUUCUUAUCUUAUUAAUUUUUCUUAUGUUUAUCUCCCGCAUGUUCUUCCUUAUCCGUGCCAAUAGAGCUCGACUCCGGGCCAUUUAGAAUGGCUCCGAAUUGCCUACGCAGCUAAGCUCCGAGCUUUUUCUGCUCUCCUCCAAACCACACUGGCAAGGAUAAGGAAGAAGUUGCGGGAGAUAAAUAUAAGGAAUGUUCAGAAGAUAAGAAGAUAAAGAUAAGGAAGAUAAGAAGAUAAAGAUAAAGAUAAAAAUAAACAAAAUAAAGAUAAGGAUAAGCAAGGUAAGGAAGAUAAAGAUAAGAAGAUAAAGCCGAG
This is a non-coding RNA of Paramuricea clavata, 1216 nucleotides long. Lineage: Eukaryota; Metazoa; Cnidaria; Anthozoa; Malacalcyonacea; Plexauridae. The record is from the annotation of a GenBank genome assembly.